GGCCGUGCUAAGCGGGGAGGUAGCGGUGCCCUGUACCUGCAAUCCGCUCUAGCAGGGCCGAAUCCCUUCUCGAGGUGGUAACAUCGACAGAAGGUGCACGGUC
This 103-nucleotide signal recognition particle RNA is filed under the name Bacillus subtilis subsp. subtilis str. 168. RNAcentral's name for it is "Bacillus subtilis small cytoplasmic RNA (scRNA),RNA from Bacillus subtilis subsp. subtilis str. 168 (PDB 4WFM, chain B)". It matches the Rfam family "Bacterial large signal recognition particle RNA". From Rfam's summary of the family: The signal recognition particle (SRP) is a universally conserved ribonucleoprotein involved in the co-translational targeting of proteins to membranes. Archaeal SRP consists of a 7S RNA and homologues of the eukaryotic SRP19 and SRP54 proteins. Lineage: Bacteria; Bacillati; Bacillota; Bacilli; Caryophanales; Bacillaceae. The record is from RNAcentral.